ACGGGUGAGUAACACGUGAGUAACCUGCCCUUAACUCUGGGAUAAGCCUGGGAAACUGGGUCUAAUACCGGAUAGGAGCGCCUACCGCAUGGUGGGUGUUGGAAAGAUUUAUCGGUUUUGGAUGGACUCGCGGCCUAUCAGCUUGUUGGUGAGGUAAUGGCUCACCAAGGCGACGACGGGUAGCCGGCCUGAGAGGGUGACCGGCCACACUGGGACUGAGACACGGCCCAGACUCCUACGGGAGGCAGCAGUGGGGAAUAUUGCACAAUGGGCGCAAGCCUGAUGCAGCGACGCCGCGUGAGGGAUGACGGCCUUCGGGUUGUAAACCUCUUUCAGUAGGGAAGAAGCGAAAGUGACGGUACCUGCAGAAGAAGCACCGGCUAACUACGUGCCAGCAGCCGCGGUAAUACGUAGGGUGCGAGCGUUAUCCGGAAUUAUUGGGCGUAAAGAGCUCGUAGGCGGUUUGUCGCGUCUGUCGUGAAAGUCCGGGGCUUAACCCCGGAUCUGCGGUGGGUACGGGCAGACUAGAGUGCAGUAGGGGAGACUGGAAUUCCUGGUGUAGCGGUGGAAUGCGCAGA
RNAcentral lists this ribosomal RNA (578 nucleotides) under Micrococcus sp. HRRP025. RNAcentral's name for it is "bacterial SSU rRNA". It matches the Rfam family "Bacterial small subunit ribosomal RNA", at positions 102 to 694 of the family's 1533-position model. The record is from RNAcentral. Lineage: Bacteria; Bacillati; Actinomycetota; Actinomycetes; Micrococcales; Micrococcaceae. RNAcentral also lists the same sequence under 1 other name.